CUUGUGGCCUCCACUGCCCUCCCCAAGCCUGCGGCCUCAUUUUCUAGCCAACCUCUCACCCUGAGAAGCCCCAGUGGAGCCAGUGCAGGGGGAGACUUCCAUUCCAGGAAGGUUCAGAUCAAGCUUCAGCCAACACUUAUGGCAGAGCAUUACUUUAAAGUAAUGCUCAAUGCUUUAAAAAACGUGGAAGAUGCUGAAUUUACAGGAACCCCUUUACUGGGAGCGAAACGGGAACCUUCAUCAUAUCACUAUGUUGACCCCACAGUUGGCAAAUGUGUGACCUCCUUUUAUUUGGUCUUGAGUUCCUUUUUUUAAAAUCUCAUUGCACACAUCCUUUAUAUAACCUGCUUCAAAUUAUUUUUCGAGAAAAAUGUUUAAAAAACCAAAAAACCUUUUCUUUUGGGGAUGAUGAAAAUGUGAAAUUCGAAAAUGUUUGUGUAUGGUUACACAUUGUAAAUACACUAAAGCCCCUUGACUUAUGCACUUUAAAGUGAAUGCACCUAAUAGAAUGUAAAUUAUGUAUCAUUAAAACUUUUAAAAAACCUUGAGGUUAUUGGGGGUGGUGGGAGCAGGGAGAAGGGACACGCUAUUGAUUAUCCAAUGACUC
Bubalus bubalis (water buffalo) is the source of this 607-nucleotide long non-coding RNA. RefSeq lists it as uncharacterized. The record is from RefSeq and is a predicted model, not a curated record. The transcript has 2 exons. Lineage: Eukaryota; Metazoa; Chordata; Mammalia; Artiodactyla; Bovidae.